RNAcentral lists this ribosomal RNA (442 nucleotides) under uncultured bacterium. RNAcentral's name for it is "partial 16S ribosomal RNA". It matches the Rfam family "Bacterial small subunit ribosomal RNA", at positions 338 to 795 of the family's 1533-position model. The record is from RNAcentral.
CCUACGGGUGGCAGCAGUGGGGAAUAUUGGGCAAUGGACGCAAGUCUGACCCAGCCAAGCCGCGUGAAGGAAGACGGCUCUCGGGUUGUUAACUUCCUUUUAGGGGGAAGAGCAGAAGACGGUACCCCUUGAAUAAGCUACGGCUAACUACGUGCCAGCAGCCGCGGUAAUACGGAGGUGGCAAGCGUUGUCCGGAUUUACUGGGUGUAAAGGGCGUGCAGCCGGAGUGACAAGUCAGAUGUGAAAUCCACGGGCUCAACCCGUGAACUGCAGUUGAAACUGUUUCCCUUGAGUGUCGGCAAGGUAAUCGGAAUUCCUGGUGUAGCGGUGAAAUGCGUAGAUAUAAGGAAGAACACCAGUGGCGAAGGCGGAUUACUGGACGGUAACUGACGGUGAGGCGCGAAAGCGUGGGGAGCAAACAGGAUUAGAUACCCCAGUAGUC